This 261-nucleotide ribosomal RNA is filed under the name uncultured bacterium. RNAcentral's name for it is "partial 16S ribosomal RNA". It matches the Rfam family "Bacterial small subunit ribosomal RNA", at positions 524 to 776 of the family's 1533-position model. The record is from RNAcentral.
UACGUAGGGAGCAAGCGUUGUCCGGAAUCAUUGGGCGUAAAGCGCGCGUAGGUGGCCCAUGUAAAGUCCGCUGUGAAAAGUCAAAAGGCUCAACCUUUGAAAGCCGGUGGAUACUGCAUGGCUAGAGUACGGAAGAGGCGAGUGGAAUUCCUGGUGUAGCGGUGGAAUGCGCAGAUAUCAGGAGGAACACCAAUAGCGAAGGCAGCUCGCUGGGGACGUUACUGACACUGAGGCGCGAAAAGCGUGGGGGAGCGAAACAGG